AGAGUUUGAUCCUGGCUCAGGACGAACGCUGGCGGCGUGCCUAAUACAUGCAAGUAGAACGCUGAAGAGAGGAGCUUGCUCUUCUUGGAUGAGUUGCGAACGGGUGAGUAACGCGUAGGUAACCUGCCUUGUAGCGGGGGAUAACUAUUGGAAACGAUAGCUAAUACCGCAUAACAAUGGAUGACACAUGUCAUUUAUUUGAAAGGGGCAAUUGCUCCACUACAAGAUGGACCUGCGUUGUAUUAGCUAGUAGGUGAGGUAACGGCUCACCUAGGCGACGAUACAUAGCCGACCUGAGAGGGUGAUCGGCCACACUGGGACUGAGACACGGCCCAGACUCCUACGGGAGGCAGCAGUAGGGAAUCUUCGGCAAUGGGGGCAACUCUGACCGAGCAACGCCGCGUGAGUGAAGAAGGUUUUCGGAUCGUAAAGCUCUGUUGUAAGUCAAGAACGAGUGUGAGAGUGGAAAGUUCACACUGUGACGGUAGCUUACC
RNAcentral lists this ribosomal RNA (494 nucleotides) under uncultured Streptococcus sp. Its description in RNAcentral is "bacterial SSU rRNA". It matches the Rfam family "Bacterial small subunit ribosomal RNA", at positions 8 to 484 of the family's 1533-position model. The record is from RNAcentral. Lineage: Bacteria; Bacillati; Bacillota; Bacilli; Lactobacillales; Streptococcaceae.